AUACGUAGGUGGCAAGCGUUGUCCGGAAUUAUUGGGCGUAAAGCGCGCGCAGGUGGUUCCUUAAGUCUGAUGUGAAAGCCCCCGGCUCAACCGGGGAGGGUCAUUGGAAACUGGGGAACUUGAGUGCAGAAGAGGAUAGUGGAAUUCCAAGUGUAGCGGUGAAAUGCGUAGAGAUUUGGAGGAACACCAGUGGCGAAGGCGACUGUCUGGUCUGUAACUGACACUGAGGCGCGAAAGCGUGGGGAGCAAACAGGAUUAGAUACCCUGGUAGUCCACGCCGUAAACGAUGAGUGCUAAGUGUUGGGGAGUUUCCGCCCCUCAGUGCUGCAGCUAACGCAUUAAGCACUCCGCCUGGGGAGUACGGUCGCAAGACUGAAACUCAAAUGAAUUGACGGGG
Molecule: ribosomal RNA, 397 nt
Filed under: uncultured bacterium
Lineage: Bacteria
Description: partial 16S ribosomal RNA
Rfam family: Bacterial small subunit ribosomal RNA
Source: RNAcentral